UUGAAAUCCUGACACAUACUUGUGACUGACUCUGAAAAGGAUGUGCAAUCUAAUAUCUGCAGUGCAUACCCAUGGAUGUGCCUGAUGUAUCUGCAGAGCAAAAGAUACUGAAAGGAAAUGGAAAGUGAACAUAAAGCCCCUGCUGUAUCCCCUUGCCACCCAGCCCCAGAAUGAAGCACAUUACUCAGUGCUUUACCUGGAAACCCAGAGGCUGCAGCAGGAAUGGGAAAUGUCCCCAGUGCCCCUGGAAUGGCGGCAGGGGCUGGCAGGUGUGCUGUGUGAAGAGAGGCCUGCAGCUGCUCUGACCAGCUAGAAGAACCUUGAGGGCAGAGGAAAGUUUGUUUCUCUCCAGCAUCAUUAAUACUUGAAACAGCUGUGAUUGGCCUCCCCAUUUCCUGAAACGUUCCAGGCCCAGAAAAGCAGCAAAAGCAGACAAGUGACAUUGUGACUAUCUCAGGACCAGCGACAUUGACUAAUGACCCCCUGCCCUGGCACCAACCAAUCAGUGGAGACCAUGACCCUGAAAGAGCACACCUAGAAAGAUGAUGAACAUUCUAUUAAGACCCUCCCCUGACACCUCCCCUAAGAUGUCCAUCUGCAAGAAAGAGAUAAAUAUGCUCAGGACAAAGGACCCAGUGCACUCUCUCCCUCCAAGGAGCAUGCCCAUGCCAUUCCCCCACAGGCAGGUAUCCCGCAACCUCUAAGGGACCCCACGAGACUUGCAACCAGGGAGCAAUGGGCAGAGGCAGCUCAUCCCUGGCUAACCCCCUGAAGGUCUCCAAGGCCCCCUUUGAGCCAAAGCAGCCCAGGCUCUCCUGUUGCUUCUUCUAUGCCCUUCCUUGUUUUAUUGUCCUA
Myotis daubentonii (Daubenton's bat) is the source of this 855-nucleotide long non-coding RNA. RefSeq lists it as uncharacterized. The record is from RefSeq and is a predicted model, not a curated record. NCBI's taxonomy places the organism in Eukaryota, Metazoa, Chordata, Mammalia, Chiroptera, Vespertilionidae.